UAUGCACAGGGUGUUAAACAUA
Molecule: unclassified non-coding RNA, 22 nt
Filed under: Mus musculus (house mouse)
Lineage: Eukaryota; Metazoa; Chordata; Mammalia; Rodentia; Muridae
Description: oocyte_clustered_small_RNA12503
Source: RNAcentral